RNAcentral lists this long non-coding RNA (440 nucleotides) under Elaeis guineensis (African oil palm). RNAcentral describes it as "long non-coding RNA (EGUI_LNC050837)". The record is from RNAcentral. Lineage: Eukaryota; Viridiplantae; Streptophyta; Magnoliopsida; Arecales; Arecaceae.
UUUAGGCAAUAUUUAUAUAAAAGCACCGGCUUAGUGUCCUGGUUUGUAAUGCAUUGCCUACCACAUGAGAACAAGGCAAGUAAAGAAAAGGAGAAGAAUAAUGCUUCCAAGUCGCCCAACAUCACUUCUUUAUACAAAGAAAAAAGAAAAAAAGAAAGAUAGCAGUUCUAUAAAAGUACCAUGGAGGGAACUUUCCACCUCGCUCAAGGAGAAAGUUGUAGGAGACUUGAGUGGUAGUAGGAGUGGAUGAGGAACUCCAAUUGGUUGGACUGGAGGAAGAGGUGGCAUGGACGAGAGAACAAAAUAGAGUGAGAGGGGGUGAAAGGCAUCUACGGAGAAGCAAAAUAAAUAAAGAGGGAGGAGGGUGAGGUGCUAGAAGGUGAUAGGUGAGAUGCUGCACUCAUGUAGAAUGUAGGAAUUAGAAGAUACUGAGGGAGAGA